CCUACGGGGGGCAGCAGUGGGGAAUAUUGCACAAUGGGGGAAACCCUGAUGCAGCGACGCCGCGUGAGUGAAGAAGUAUUUCGGUAUGUAAAGCUCUAUCAGCAGGAACGAGACAAGACGGUACCUGACUAAGAAGCCCCGGCUAACUACGUGCCAGCAGCCGCGGUAAUACGUAGGGGGCAAGCGUUAUCCGGAAUCACUGGGUGGAAAGGGAGCGUAGACGGCUGAGCAAGCCUGAAGUGAAAGGCGGGGGCCCAACCCCCGGACUGCUUUGGGAACUGUACGGCUGGAGUGCAGGAGAGGUUAGUGGAAUUCCUAGGGUAGAGGUGGAAUGCGUAGAUAUUAGGAGGAACACCAGUGGCGAAGGCGGCUUACUGGACUGUAACUGACGUUGAGGCUCGAAAGCGUGGGGAGCAAACAGGAUUAGAUACCCCAGUAGUC
Molecule: ribosomal RNA, 441 nt
Filed under: uncultured bacterium
Lineage: Bacteria
Description: partial 16S ribosomal RNA
Rfam family: Bacterial small subunit ribosomal RNA
Source: RNAcentral